Molecule: ribosomal RNA, 558 nt
Filed under: uncultured bacterium
Lineage: Bacteria
Description: bacterial SSU rRNA
Rfam family: Bacterial small subunit ribosomal RNA
Source: RNAcentral
GCGACCGAGUGAGUAACACGUGACUAACCUACCCUACAGUGGGGGAUAACUCCGGGAAACCGGGGGUAAUACCGCAUAACAUCGUAAGAUCAAAGGAGCAAUUCGCUGAAGGAGGGGGUCGCGGCUGAUUAGUUAGUUGGUGAGGUAACGGCUCACCAAGACGAAGAUCAGUAGCCGGCCUGAGAGGGCGCACGGCCACACUGGAACUGAAACACGGUCCAGACUCCUACGGGAGGCAGCAGUGGGGAAUUUUGCGCAAUGGGGGAAACCCUGACGCAGCAACGCCGCGUGGAGGAUGAAGUCCCUUGGGAUGUAAACUCCUUUCGAUCGGGACGAUUAUGACGGUACCGGAAGAAGAAGCACCGGCUAACUCUGUGCCAGCAGCCGCGGUAAUACAGAGGGUGCAAGCGUUGUUCGGAAUUAUUGGGCGUAAAGGGUGCGUAGGCGGUGCGGUAAGUCUGUAGUGAAAUCUCUGGGCUCAACUCAGAGUCUGCUAUAGAAACUGCCGUGCUUGAGUGUGGGAGAGGUGAGUGGAAUUCCCGGUGUAGCGGUGAAAUG